UACUUGGAUGGACCUGCGGUGCAUUAGCUAGUUGGUAGGGUAACGGCCUACCAAGGCGAUGAUGCAUAGCCCGAGUUGAGAGACUGAUCGGCCACAUUGGGACUGAGACACGGCCCAAACUCCUACGGGAGGCAGCAGUAGGGAAUCUUCCACAAUGGACGCAAGUCUGAUGGAGCAACGCCGCGUGAGUGAAGUAAGGGUUUCGGCUACGUAAAGCUCUGUUGUUGGUGAAGAAGGACAGGGGGUAGUAACUGACCUUUGUUUGACGGUAAUCAACUUAGAAAGUCACGGCUAACUACGUGCCAGCAGCCGCGGUAAAU
RNAcentral lists this ribosomal RNA (320 nucleotides) under uncultured Lactobacillus sp. Its description in RNAcentral is "bacterial SSU rRNA". It matches the Rfam family "Bacterial small subunit ribosomal RNA", at positions 218 to 525 of the family's 1533-position model. The record is from RNAcentral. Lineage: Bacteria; Bacillati; Bacillota; Bacilli; Lactobacillales; Lactobacillaceae.